GAUGAACGCUGGCGGCGUGCAUAACACAUUCAAGUCGAACGGUGACGAGGACUUCGGUCCUCUGAUCAGUGGCGGACGGGUGAGUAACGCGUGAGCAACCUGCCCUAUAUUGCGGGAUAACAACCGGAAACAGUUGCUAAUACCGCAUGACGUAUUCGGAUCGCAUGUUCUGAAUACCAAAGAAUUUUGAUAUAGGAUGGGCUCGCGUCCGAUUAGGCAGUUGGUGGGGUAACGGCCCACCAAACCGACGAUCGGUAGCCGAACUGAGAGGUUGAACGGCCACAUUGGAACUGAGAUACGGUCCAGACUCCUACGGGAGGCAGCAGUGGGGGAAUAUUGGGCAAUGGGCGAAAGCCUGACCCAGCGACGCCGCGUGAAGGAAGAAGGUCUUCGGAUUGUAAACUUCUUUUAUGAGGGACGAAGAAAGUGACGGUACCUCAUGAUAAGCCACGGCUAACUACGUG
Molecule: ribosomal RNA, 464 nt
Filed under: uncultured bacterium
Lineage: Bacteria
Description: bacterial SSU rRNA
Rfam family: Bacterial small subunit ribosomal RNA
Source: RNAcentral